RNAcentral lists this ribosomal RNA (461 nucleotides) under uncultured bacterium. Its description in RNAcentral is "partial 16S ribosomal RNA". It matches the Rfam family "Bacterial small subunit ribosomal RNA", at positions 338 to 795 of the family's 1533-position model. The record is from RNAcentral.
CCUACGGGAGGCAGCAGUGAGGAAUAUUGGUCAAUGGGCUUACGCCUGAACCAGCCAAGUCGCGUGAGGGAAGACUGCCCUAUGGGUUGUAAACUUCUUUUGUCAGGGAGCAACUCCCGCUACGUGUAGCCGGACUGAGGGUUCAUGAAGAAAAAGCAUCGGCUAAUUCCGUGCCAGCAGCCGCGGUAAUCCGGAGGAUGCGAGCGUUAUCCGGAUUUAUUGGGUUUAAAGGGAGCGUAGAUGGGUUGUUAGGUCAGUUGUGAAAGUUUGCGGCUCAACCGUAAAAUUGCAAUUGAUACUGGCAGCCUUGAGUACAGUUGAGGUAGGCGGAAUUCGUGGUGUAGCGGUGAAAUGCAUAGAUAUCACGAAGAACACCGAUUGCGAAGGCAGCUUACUAAACUGCCACUGACAUUGAGGCUCGAAAGUGUGGGUAUCAAACAGGAUUAGAUACCCGGGUAGUC